AUUUUAUUAGCUUAUAAUAGAGCACUUUACUGAAGAUAAAGAAGACUAAACAUUUUCAUCAUGAAAUA
RNAcentral lists this transfer RNA (68 nucleotides) under Trichonephila clavipes. RNAcentral's name for it is "tRNA-Phe". The record is from RNAcentral. Lineage: Eukaryota; Metazoa; Arthropoda; Arachnida; Araneae; Nephilidae.